RNAcentral lists this transfer RNA (67 nucleotides) under Marmota monax (woodchuck). RNAcentral's name for it is "tRNA.Ala". Lineage: Eukaryota; Metazoa; Chordata; Mammalia; Rodentia; Sciuridae. The record is from RNAcentral.
GGUUGUGGUUUAGCGGUAGAGCGCUUGCCUAGCAUGUGUGAGGUCCUGGGUUCAAUCCUCAGCACCA